Long non-coding RNA from Gigantopelta aegis, 582 nucleotides. RefSeq lists it as uncharacterized. The record is from RefSeq and is a predicted model, not a curated record. Lineage: Eukaryota; Metazoa; Mollusca; Gastropoda; Neomphalida; Peltospiridae. The transcript has 2 exons.
CUUUUCUUAGCAACGUGUCAUCUUAUUCUUUGAGUGUGUAUCACUGGAAGAGUGGGAUGCAGUUUUGUUUCAGGAUUUACCAUUUACCUAAAAGAUGGAGUGCAUUGUGUUGUGUGUAAAUGCCUCUCAGUACCGACGACCAUGGGCUAGAGAACUCCGUGAACUGUCAGAUGGUACACGAUGAAGUCGAUCACCUUCAUCCAGCCAGAGUUGAUAUAGUGAAACGAAAUGGCAACAUUACUCGGCUCGUAGGCGGUCUGCAAAACAAAUGAAUCAAUCAAUUAAUCAAUCAAUCAGUCGGUGAUUGGUAAACAAAACCCAUCCAUAAAUAACUAAAUACAGUAGAAUCUCAUUCGCUCGAACACUGUCGGUGCAUCAAAGUCUGUUUGACCCAUUGGAUAGAUCGAACCAUGCAUUCGGCCGUUGUCGAUAACCUCGCAUAUUUCUGUAAAACCGGCUUGGGCGAGAUGGUCCGAUUGACUCGUGAGUAACGAAGUCGCCGUCAGAUGUCGGAUAAGAUAUAUAUUUGUAACAAUUAUUUAUCACUGUUAACUAGAUACAUAACUAAAUAAAUAAAACACU